GCAGCCUGUGCCCAUUUCAUCCAUGGCUGGAAGUGGCCGGAGGCGACUCACCUGUGGAAGUGCUCACGGGUUCUGUCUUUCCUGGCAUGGCACACACAGAGAUUCUUCUCUUCCCAACCUGGCGUAGUACCUGUACGGAGAAGCUGUCAUCUUCAUGGCCGUGUCGCAGGAUUCUUCAGGAGGAUAUGAACAAUUAAGCCCCAUUCCCAGUGAUCCUGUGGUUAGAACAAGGAAGAUCCACUCUACUUCAAGACUCUUGAAAACACACCCGCUUUUCCUGAAUUUUCUAAUCUACUCUCUACAGAGAUAAAUUCUGUAAGUCCUGUUAAUAAAAAUACUAUAUUACUUGUUUGUUAAU
This 358-nucleotide long non-coding RNA is filed under the name Heterocephalus glaber (naked mole-rat). RNAcentral describes it as "lncRNA (ENSHGLG00100046839.1)". The record is from RNAcentral. Lineage: Eukaryota; Metazoa; Chordata; Mammalia; Rodentia; Bathyergidae.